Molecule: ribosomal RNA, 759 nt
Filed under: Photobacterium sp. a199
Lineage: Bacteria; Pseudomonadati; Pseudomonadota; Gammaproteobacteria; Vibrionales; Vibrionaceae
Description: bacterial SSU rRNA
Rfam family: Bacterial small subunit ribosomal RNA
Source: RNAcentral
CACACUGGACUGAGACACGGUCCAGACUCCUACGGGAGGCAGCAGUGGGGAAUAUUGCACAAUGGGGGAAACCCUGAUGCAGCCAUGCCGCGUGUAUGAAGAAGGCCUUCGGGUUGUAAAGUACUUUCAGCAGUGAGGAAGGUGGUAGUGUUAAUAGCACCAUCAUUUGACGUUAGCUGCAGAAGAAGCACCGGCUAACUCCGUGCCAGCAGCCGCGGUAAUACGGAGGGUGCGAGCGUUAAUCGGAAUUACUGGGCGUAAAGCGCAUGCAGGCGGUCUGUUAAGCAAGAUGUGAAAGCCCGGGGCUCAACCUCGGAACAGCAUUUUGAACUGGCAGACUAGAGUCUUGUAGAGGGGGGUAGAAUUUCAGGUGUAGCGGUGAAAUGCGUAGAGAUCUGAAGGAAUACCGGUGGCGAAGGCGGCCCCCUGGACAAAGACUGACGCUCAGAUGCGAAAGCGUGGGGAGCAAACAGGAUUAGAUACCCUGGUAGUCCACGCCGUAAACGAUGUCUACUUGGAGGUUGGUGUCUUGAACACUGGCUUUCGGAGCUAACGCGUUAAGUAGACCGCCUGGGGAGUACGGUCGCAAGAUUAAAACUCAAAUGAAUUGACGGGGGCCCGCACAAGCGGUGGAGCAUGUGGUUUAAUUCGAUGCAACGCGAAGAACCUUACCUACUCUUGACAUCCAGAGAAUUCGCUAGAGAUAGCUUAGUGCCUUCGGGAGCUCUGAGACAGGUGCUGCAUGGCUGUCGUCAGCUC